Molecule: ribosomal RNA, 435 nt
Filed under: uncultured bacterium
Lineage: Bacteria
Description: partial 16S ribosomal RNA
Rfam family: Bacterial small subunit ribosomal RNA
Source: RNAcentral
AACGAACGCUGGCGGCAUGCCUAACGCAUGCAAGUCGAACGAUUGCCUUCGGGUGAUAGUGGCGCACGGGUGCGUAACGCGUGGGAAUCUGCCCUUAGGUUCGGAAUAACAGCUGGAAACGGCUGCUAAUACCGGAUGAUAUCGCGAGAUCAAAGAUUUAUCGCCUGAGGAUGAGCCCGCGUUGGAUUAGGUAGUUGGUGGGGUAAAGGCCUACCAAGCCGACGAUCCAUAGCUGGUCUGAGAGGAUGAUCAGCCACACUGGGACUGAGACACGGCCCAGACUCCUACGGGAGGCAGCAGUGGGGAAUAUUGGACAAUGGGCGCAAGCCUGAUCCAGCAAUGCCGUGUGAGUGAUGAAGGCCCUAGGGUUGUAAAGCUCUUUUACCCGGGAAGAUAAUGACUGUACCGGGAGAAUAAGCCCCGGCUAACUCCGUG